AAGUCGUAACAAGGUUUCCGUAGGUGAACCUGCGGAAGGAUCAUUAAUGAAAGAUAAAGAGAUCUGUGGAGAUGUGCUUUAAAGUCACCUUUGGAGCCAUCGCAAGCAGAUUCUCUAUCUAUCACACCCCUCUGUGAACCUUUGCACAAGCUGGUACUGGUCUCUGACCUGGAAGGCUUGUGACUUCUACAUAACCUUAUAAAUAAGUCUUAGAAUGAACCUUGCGUAUUAUCGCAUCUAAUACAACUUUCAGCAACGGAUCUCUUGGCUCUC
Molecule: unclassified non-coding RNA, 273 nt
Filed under: fungal sp.
Lineage: Eukaryota; Fungi
Description: partial internal transcribed spacer region
Rfam family: Eukaryotic small subunit ribosomal RNA (bases 1-46)
Source: RNAcentral